AAGGAAAGCAAAAACUCAAAAAAACCUAAAGAAAGUAAGAGAAGGAACCAGAGUUUCCUGCCUGAUCUCACAAGAAAACGAAGCAGUGGAUGAAUCCAAGGAGGAUGAAGUGCUGUAUACGAGUGUCACCGUUAAACCCAAAAAAGCAGACGUUAAAUCCCAAGAACAAACGUGUGCCAACACAGAACAGCAGAAUGAAUCCAUUUACAGCGGAGUGAAGACUGCUUGAUUUGAUACAAGUGUGUGUGCGCGCACGUGUGUAAAAGAGAUACAAUCGUGCCCUUCAAAGAUAGAAAACAUGACAUCACCAACAGUUCCUCCAGUGUUCCUCCAGUGUUAGUCUGGUUUUGCUAUAUUUGAAGGUACUAAUAUAAAAGAAAAUUCGAUAAUAGUAAGCAAUGCAUUAAUGGAAACUUCUUAGUAUGAUAAAGUAAAUAACAACUUCUUUAAAAAACAAUGUGUGUUUUCAGCUCUGAAACUGUCAGAGCAAGAAUAUGACUAUGUACAUAUAUAUGUAUUUUUUUUCUCUAACAGACAUAAAUUAAAUUCUUAUAAGCAUUAUUUUUUACAGAUAAAAGCAUUUUGUAUUAUUUAAUUUUAAAGUAAGUUAAGUUAGGAGUUGCAUUUAAGCUAAAGAAAACAUCUUAGGCCUAGAUGUUUCUUGAUAAAAAAAAAAAA
Non-coding RNA from Danio rerio (zebrafish), 678 nucleotides. The record is from RefSeq and is a predicted model, not a curated record. Lineage: Eukaryota; Metazoa; Chordata; Actinopteri; Cypriniformes; Danionidae.